GCUGUGUAACCAGAUGUUUGACUCUCCGGCAAAGCUCCUGUGUCACCUGAUUGAGCACAGCUUCGAGGGGAUGGGAGGCACAUUCAAAUGCCCUGUUUGUUUCACAGUGUUUGUACAGGCAAACAAACUGCAGCAGCACAUCUUUGCAGUCCACGGGCAGGAAGAUAAAAUUUAUGACUGUUCCCAGUGCCCACAGAAGUUCUUCUUUCAAACAGAGCUUCAGAACCACACAUUGAGCCAGCACGCACAGUGAGCCACUGGCACUACAGGACACCUCUCUGCAGAAGACUUGACGGUGGCACAGUGGGGAGGACCAUUUGAACAUUACAUCCAAUCAAAGUGUCAUUUGCAACCCAGAUGUAAAACUCUAAUGAUUUGGCCAUGAGGCGCUGCUAUUAUAAGCAGCUGGAAAUGAAUAUUAAUGGAAGAGAUUAAAAGUAUUCCAUGCUCAGUAUUUUUUAUUGUCCUGCUUCAGCUAGUGUACUUUAGAGCUUCUGCUUCUGACUGAAUUUAUAGUGUUAGAUAAAUCUGCUUUGAUGCUGUUGCCCUUUGUUGCUUCUUGUAUUAUAUUGAUAGUUAAAGAUUAGGUGUGAUUUUUUUUUUCUUUUUUGUUAACUGCUUUUUAAUUGCAAUUUUAGGUAACUGUGCAUUGUGAUGUGAUUGCUUGGCUAUUGUCUGAAUAUUUCCUUUUAAUUUUUUAAUUAAAGACUAAUGCUUUGAUUGGAUUUGCCAGUUCACCGGACAGUGAUUAAAACUAUGUAAUGAAUAUAAUCGGUUUCAGUGCAACUGGAUGGUCUGCUUUAUAAAUGUGACUUAAUCUGAUUGCAAUAACUAGUACAGUUCAAUAAAGGGAAUACAUGA
Molecule: long non-coding RNA, 861 nt
Organism: Mesitornis unicolor (brown roatelo)
Lineage: Eukaryota; Metazoa; Chordata; Aves; Mesitornithiformes; Mesitornithidae
Exons: 3
Source: RefSeq, a predicted model, not a curated record